UUUUUAAAUUUGCCUUAUCAAUGUGGCAGCAAUUUUUCCAAAACAUGUGGUUUCCUUUUCUCUUCUGCCCUUCAGAUAGAGCUUCCAUUUCUCUUUUUAUUUAAAAUUAUAGUAGGGGUUGGCCCAGUGGUACAGCGGUUAAGUGCACACAUUCUGCUUCAGCUGUCCAGGGUUUGCCAGUUCGGAUCCUGGGUGUGGACCUACACACUGCUUGUCAAGCUAUGCUGUGGCAGGCAUCCCACAUAUAAAGUAGAGGAAGAUGGGCACAGAUGUUAGCUCAGGGCCAGUCUUCCUCAGUGAAAAGAGGAAGAUUGGCAGCAGAUGUUAGCUCAGGGCUGAUCUUCCUCAAAAAAGGAGAAAGAUUUUAGUAAAUUGAGAGGGCCUUUUUCGUGUUGCUUUGCAGGAUACUACAGAGUGCAGCCUAGAAGCGUGGCUUACCCACUUUGUGUGGAGUACAUUUGACCUCUUGUGCUUGUGACCCUGUACUGCUGUUAUGGGGUCACUGCUUGGUUUCCUUAGAAACUUAAGAAAUAUGUUGCUGUGCCUUUCAGAAGUGACUGGCAGAUACAGCAACAUCCUUGGCCUGAAUUCUCCCAGUUGGGCAAAGUGAUUCCCCUGGAUUCCCCAGGGUCACUCUGACUGAAAUGAGGCAUGGAGAAGGGAGUGCAGAGAAAAGUUAAAGGGAAAGUGAGAACAGAAUGCAGAUGCAAAGUACAGAAAACUGAGGAAGCAAGAAACGGUAAGAAAAGGAAAGAGAGAAAAGCAUAGUGGGGUGAGAAGAGGAGAAUACAGGAUCAGUGGAAGGAAGGUGAAGGGACUAGUCCAGAGGUCCGUUGGCCCUUUCUGUGGUGUCAGAAGCAUAGGCUGCUGUCUUGCUCCGAGGAUGAGCAGCUGAUAGGAUAACUUCUCCUGAGCUGGUCUUGAGCAGCACAUCUGUCUUUUUGUCCCCUAUUUCCAAUAUCAGGAAGAUUAGCCCUGAGCUGACAUCUGCUGCCAACCCUCCUCUUUUUGCUGAGGAAGACUGGCCCUGAGCUAACAUCUGUGCUCAUCUUCCUCUACUUUGUAUGUGGGACGCCUGCCACAGCAUGGCUUGCCAAGCGGUACCAUGUCUGCACUGGGGAUCCAAACCAGUGAACCCUGGGCCGCCAAAGUGGAACGUGCACACUUAACCACUGCGCCACCAGGCCGGCCCCCAACUAGCUCAUCUUUGAAAAAAGUUUCGUAUACAGAGGCCUGCAGCAGUGUUGGUGCUCCCUUCAGGUGAAACAUGAUCUUGUCACUGUAAUGUGGUAAUUGAUAAUGUGAUUCUGGAGCCAGCCUGCUGGGGCCUGAAUUCUGAUUUAGCCACUUACUAACUGUGUGGCCUUGGGGAAGAAGAACAGGUUGAUGGAAGAACCUGUUGUAUAGUCUUAGCCUCCAUUGUAGUUCCAAAGUUUGAGGACAGCAGAGAUGGGUGGGCUUUGCCUGCCCAGCACGCAUUCUCUCUUCUUAGCCACGGCCACAGCAUGGCCACUAACAGAUGAGUGGUGUACGUCCGUGCCCAGGAUCCAAACCCAGGCAGCCAAAGCAGAGCAUGCCAAACUUAACCACGAGGCCACCGGGGCUGGCCCAAGGACCCUCUUAAUGGUGAAAUUUUCGGUACAAGAAUUUUCUUUGUUCUUUUAGGAUGAACUUUGAAGUCAUUGUGCCAAGUCCUGCUUGUUCCUUUGGACUACACAGUGGGAGCUGGAAACAUGGGUGACCCCAGUAGGGGCUUUUGUAUUCAUAAGCACCAGGCUUACGAAUACAAACACAGCAAGUCCCAGGAGCUGGUUUUGGUGGGGCUGGACUUCUCCUCCAUGCAGAAUCACAUGGCCUCUUUAGGAAGAAGCCCCUCGCCGCCAUUGACCUCCACUUGGGGCAUCCUCCUGUCUCCAGUCCAAAGACAAUCCUAUGGACCUCAGAGCUCUUGUGUCUCUGCUGCUGCAGCACCCAUCCAUAUGUGCCCCACUGUGGCCGAGCCAGCCUGUACUGGGGUGUUCCUGUCCAUCUUGCAGGGGACUCUGCCUCCAGCCAGUGCCCCCUCCAAGCCUGGUCUCCUCUAAGGAUUUCCUGUGGGUUAGCUCUGGGGAUCUUUUCUUAAUCUGUUCCUACAUGUGUUAUUACAGAAAGAAUUAUUCAUAAUUGCCAGCAUUGUGAUGGCUUCUUCCUAGUUUCUUUUGAGCCUGCAUGUUUUUCCCUACUUGACAUUUUCUAGGUUCUCUCCUACUUAAGUGACUUCUUCAGGAUCUUUUCUAUUGAGGAGUAAUGAACGAA
This is a long non-coding RNA of Equus asinus (donkey), 2295 nucleotides long. The record is from Ensembl. Lineage: Eukaryota; Metazoa; Chordata; Mammalia; Perissodactyla; Equidae.